RNAcentral lists this long non-coding RNA (235 nucleotides) under Homo sapiens (human). Its description in RNAcentral is "HSALNT0319021". The record is from RNAcentral. Lineage: Eukaryota; Metazoa; Chordata; Mammalia; Primates; Hominidae.
AGUCCCACCUGAGGCUCAACCCUAGCCCUCAGCCCACCUGCGGGGCAUUACUGCCUGGGGACCCCCCUUGCCCAGGCCUCCAGCUACAAAACAAUUCAAUUGCUUCUUCUUUUAUUUUUUUCUGUCCAAAAUAAAACCUCAGCUAGCUCGGCAAAAAAAAAAAAAAAAAAAAAAAAAAAAAAAAAAAAAGGGGCAAAAGCAAAAGAUCUGAAGAUCUGCAGACAUUUUUGAGGAC